CCUGCAUAUGGAAGUUUCUAGGUAGGGGUUGAAUCAGAGCUGCAGUUGCCAGUCUACACCACAGCCACAGCAACGCCAGAUCUGAGCCUUAUCUGCGACCUAAACCACAACUCAUGGCAACACCAGAUCCUUAAUCCGCUAAUUGAGGCCAGAGAUGGAACUCACAUCCUCAUGGAUACUAGUUCUUUUAAAUGCUCAAUAUACAUUUUUAAUGUAAUUGUUAUAGUACUGAUAUGCUUGAUCAACUGCUUUUUAUGGGAAGAUGUUCACAAAUCACCAAACAUUUUAAGUACCGGAGUAUGAGUUGAGAAGACUAUGUUAUGUCUACUCCGAAAGAAGAGGAAGCUAUCAGCACAGCUGAGUAAGAGAGCUGGAGUUCCCACCUCUCUUCCCACCCCAACAGGGGUUAAACUCACAUUCCAAAAGACUGGCUCUUCUGUAGGAUGCCUUAACCUCUGUUUCAGUCUCAGAAGCUCAGUCGUAGAAUUUUUGAGGACCAAAAGCCACCUUUCCCCCAAACACCAAAAGCAUUUUCACAAAAAUAUUCUUCUGCCACAAUGCUCCCCUCUACUCCUUACACCCCCUCCUCCCGGCUCACUCAUUCUCAGUACCCUGCUCAGGAGCCACCUCUUCUGAGAACAUUCGGUGGCACUCACCCCCACCAAGACGGCGAGGCACCCUCCUAAACACUCUCAUAAUACUCCAUCCGUGUCCCCAUCACGGCACUGACACACUGAACUAGGACACUUUCCUUGUCUGUUCCCUCGGAAUACAAGUUCCUUGAGAUCAGGGUCUAUGAAGGGAUCACUGGUAUCUUCCCAGCCACCAUGGCAUGGAAGGCACACCACCGCUAGAGAAUCAAGGAAGAUCUUUCACUUGUCUUCUCCCCUCUUUACUUUUUAUUUAUUUAUUUGUUUGUCUGUCUGUUUGUUUGAGAAACAGGGUAGGAAAUUUCAAAUGCAAUGUAACUAAAAAUGCAGCAUUUCAUAAAUGAAAAAACUAGAUCCUUCACAUGAGGAGGUCAUAGGGAAAGCCUCAAAGGAACAAGCCCAGCUCUACAUCAAGACAUAUUUUUGGCUUAUUACUUAGAAUUCUUCCUAUUAAAAUUUAAUGCAGUCUUCUCUAGCAGUUCAUUUUGUCUGCCAAGUCCUUUAUGACUAUUUUGAUAAGUUAUUUAUUACCUAUGGAUGCCACAGUGAUAAGCAGAUAGCAUAAGCAAGAGCUCAGGGGACAGAGAGAAAGGGCCACGUCCACUCCUGAUCAGUUGAGGCUAAAUUGUUAGAUCCUAUGACAAGCCAUUAUCACCAAGCACUGGCCUGAAUGACAGAGCAUCCUGGUACCCAGUAGGCACUCAAUACAUGUAACAAAUGAGUGAAUGAACGAGUAUCAGGGUGGAAGGGGCCCCAGAAGGCAAACUGUAAUCCUAAGAGUGGUGGGACCACAGCGCAAUUGGGAUGGACACUGAUGGAUAAGAAAGCAAGCGGUUUUAUACAGAGCAACCUGGUACAACCCUCUGUCCCCCUCAGUUUCCUCAUUUCUAAAAUGGGAAUGAUAAUAGACUUAAAUGAGAUAAUGAACAAAGUGCUUUACACGAUGUCUGGCAAACACUGUGUGCUUAAAAUUACUAUGCUAUUAUCUCAGAGGCACAGUUAAGUCACUAAAAUGAAAAGCACACCAAACUGAGCUUUCCGUAGAUGUAGUAGGAAACACUCUGAAUCAAGGAAGUAGAAUAUGCAGGUCUUCUCCAUACAAUCU
RNAcentral lists this long non-coding RNA (1755 nucleotides) under Sus scrofa (pig). RNAcentral's name for it is "lncRNA (ENSSSCG00055017865.1)". The record is from RNAcentral. Lineage: Eukaryota; Metazoa; Chordata; Mammalia; Artiodactyla; Suidae.